Molecule: ribosomal RNA, 253 nt
Filed under: uncultured bacterium
Lineage: Bacteria
Description: partial 16S ribosomal RNA
Rfam family: Bacterial small subunit ribosomal RNA
Source: RNAcentral
UACGGGGGGUGCGAGCGUUGUCCGGAAUCACUGGGCGUAAAGGGCGCGUAGGUGGCGUGAUAAGGGUGGGGUGAAAGCCCGGGGCUCAACCCCGGGUCUGCCAUGCCGACUGUCAGGCUAGAGUACUGUAGGGGCAGGCGGAAUUCCGGGUGUAGCGGUGGAAUGCGUAGAUAUCAGGAGGAACACCGGUGGCGAAGGCGGGUCUCUGGGCCGAUACUGACGCUGAGGAGCGAAAGCGUGGGGAGCGAACAGG